GACGAACGCUGGCGGCGUGCCUAAUACAUGCAAGUUGAGCGCUGAAGGUUGGUACUUGUACCGACUGGAUGAGCAGCGAACGGGUGAGUAACGCGUGGGGAAUCUGCCUUUGAGCGGGGGACAACAUUUGGAAACGAAUGCUAAUACCGCAUAAAAACUUUAAAAACAAGUUUUAAGUUUGAAAGAUGCAAUUGCAUCACUCAAAGAUGAUCCCGCGUUGUAUUAGCUAGUUGGUGAGGUAAAGGCUCACCAAGGCGAUGAUACAUAGCCGACCUGAGAGGGUGAUCGGCCACAUUGGGACUGAGACACGGCCCAAACUCCUACGGGAGGCAGCAGUAGGGAAUCUUCGGCAAUGGACGAAAGUCUGACCGAGCAACGCCGCGUGAGUGAAGAAGGUUUUCGGAUCGUAAAACUCGGUUGGUAGAGAAGAACGUUGGUGAGAGUGGAAAGCUCAUCAAGUGACGGUAACUACCCAGAAAGGGACGGCUAACUACGUG
This 497-nucleotide ribosomal RNA is filed under the name uncultured bacterium. Its description in RNAcentral is "partial 16S ribosomal RNA". It matches the Rfam family "Bacterial small subunit ribosomal RNA", at positions 28 to 507 of the family's 1533-position model. The record is from RNAcentral.